GGGGGCGUUUUUGGAUUCGACGGGGAUAGUUCGAGCACCUGUAGCGGGUAGUGGGGCUGCGUCCACUUCAUCAACGCGAACGCCAAUUAACUGGCAAACAACAACCUAAACUCGCUUUCGCAGCUUAAUAACCUGUGACGCGGCUUCUACCCUGCAUCGCCCAUGUGCCGGGAUAGGGGCUCAACCUUAGUGGGAUACGCCGUCUAGUCUCCGCCUGGGGCUAGCGGAAGAAGACAAUCAGGCUGACCCGAAGGGAAUCCGGUGACAGGGAGUCUCUAGGGUGACAUCAAAUCUGUCACUACACCCGUAGAAGCCGGUGUGGCGUUAUCUUCGGACACGGGUUCGACUCCCGUCGCCUCCAUAC
Molecule: transfer-messenger RNA, 364 nt
Filed under: Paenibacillus flagellatus
Lineage: Bacteria; Bacillati; Bacillota; Bacilli; Caryophanales; Paenibacillaceae
Also listed under: 1 other name
Rfam family: transfer-messenger RNA
About the family: Bacterial tmRNA, also known as 10Sa RNA or SsrA, is named for its dual tRNA and mRNA-like properties. Its role is to liberate the mRNA from a stalled ribosome.
Source: Rfam by way of RNAcentral